This is a long non-coding RNA of Alligator mississippiensis (American alligator), 554 nucleotides long. RefSeq lists it as uncharacterized. The record is from RefSeq and is a predicted model, not a curated record. The transcript has 4 exons. NCBI's taxonomy places the organism in Eukaryota, Metazoa, Chordata, Crocodylia, Alligatoridae.
UCAAGGUCCACCAGUCUCAGAUGCACUUUGGUUCCUUUUUUAUAUUUUCUAUGGAGAAAAGAAACAAAGCAAAGAAGAAAUGGAACUGCCAUCCUAGGAGACGCAAGAUACCAAUGAAAAGGAAAAAGGCUGGACCAACUUCAUUUCUGGAACGGUUUGCUUUCUUCUUCAGUGAGGUAUAUAACAUAUUAAAAUGCAGGAUGAAAACCUGGAGAGGGUGCAGAAUGAUGCAAUACAAGAAAAUGUUUUGAGAACUGGAGAAAACUGAAAAAGUCCAACCUAAGAAGUUUAUUUAAAAAAGCUGAAAGGUAAAGAGCUGAGGGUGAAGUGGAAAAGGACAUUCUAUGGGAUUUGAAGAUCUGUGGAAUCUCAGAGCCGGUAAAAUUGUCACUACCUCCAAACAACUUCUAAUAAUAUCUACUGAGCGUUCUAAUAAAUCCUGUCCAAACUUAAACACAUUGCUCAAGUACUGGCAUCCUUAUUCCAAGCGACUUGGAGUUCUGCGUCCUUAUGCUGCUACAAAUUAGAUUACUGUCAAUUGAUUUUAAAAAAGG